Molecule: ribosomal RNA, 406 nt
Filed under: uncultured bacterium
Lineage: Bacteria
Description: bacterial SSU rRNA
Rfam family: Bacterial small subunit ribosomal RNA
Source: RNAcentral
AACGAACGCUGGCGGCGGGGUUUAGGCAUGCAAGUCGAGCGAGAAAGGGGAAACCCGAGUAAAGCGGCGUAAGGGUGAGUAAUAGGUAGCUCACGUAUCCUCCAGAUGCGGAUAAUUCCCCGAAAGGGGUUGUAAUACGCGAUGAGACCACGCGGGAUCCGUCCUGUGAGGUCAAAGGUUCGGGAUCCUUCGGGACCGAGCGCUGGUGGAGCGGACGACCUCCGAUUAGCUAGAUGGCGGGGUAACGGCCCACCAUGGCGAUGAUCGGUAGCCGGCCUGAGAGGGUGUUCGGCCACACUGGGACUGAGACACUGCCCAGACUCCUACGGGAGGCUGCAGUCGCGAAUCAUUCACAAUGGGCGCAAGCCUGAUGAUGCCACGCCGCGUGCGGGAUGAAGGCCCGUUU